RNAcentral lists this ribosomal RNA (253 nucleotides) under uncultured bacterium. RNAcentral's name for it is "partial 16S ribosomal RNA". It matches the Rfam family "Bacterial small subunit ribosomal RNA", at positions 524 to 776 of the family's 1533-position model. The record is from RNAcentral.
UACGUAGGGUGCAAGCGUUAAUCGGAAUUACUGGGCGUAAAGCGUGCGCAGGCGGCUUCGCAAGUCAGACGUGAAAUCCCCGGGCUUAACCUGGGAAUGGCGUUUGAAACUACGGAGCUGGAGUGUGGCAGAGGGAGGUAGAAUUCCACGUGUAGCGGUGAAAUGCGUAGAUAUGUGGAGGAAUACCGAUGGCGAAGGCAGCCUCCUGGGCCAACACUGACGCUCAUGCACGAAAGCGUGGGGAGCAAACAGG